Molecule: transfer RNA, 68 nt
Filed under: Ovis aries (sheep)
Lineage: Eukaryota; Metazoa; Chordata; Mammalia; Artiodactyla; Bovidae
Rfam family: tRNA
About the family: Transfer RNA (tRNA) molecules are approximately 80 nucleotides in length.
Source: Rfam by way of RNAcentral
UCCCUGUUCAGUUGGUAAAAAAUCUGCCUGCAAUGCAGGAGACCCUGGUUCAAUUCCUGGAUCGGGAA